GUGGGGAAUCUUGCGCAAUGGGCGAAAGCCUGACGCAGCCAUGCCGCGUGAAUGAUGAAGGUCUUAGGAUUGUAAAAUUCUUUCACCGGGGACGAUAAUGACGGUACCCGGAGAAGAAGCUCCGGCUAACUUCGUGCCAGCAGCCGCGGUAAUACGAAGGGGGCUAGCGUUGCUCGGAAUUACUGGGCGUAAAGGGCGCGUAGGCGGACAGUUUAGUCAGAGGUGAAAGCCCAGGGCUCAACCUUGGAAUUGCCUUUGAUACUGGCUGUCUUGAGUUUGGGAGAGGUGAGUGGAACUCCGAGUGUAGAGGUGAAAUUCGUAGAUAUUCGGAAGAACACCAGUGGCGAAGGCGACUCACUGGCCCGUUACUGACGCUGAGGCGCGAAAGCGUGGGGAGCAAACAGGAUUAGAUACCCUUGUAGUCC
This 425-nucleotide ribosomal RNA is filed under the name uncultured bacterium. RNAcentral describes it as "partial 16S ribosomal RNA". It matches the Rfam family "Bacterial small subunit ribosomal RNA", at positions 354 to 796 of the family's 1533-position model. The record is from RNAcentral.